ACUCAAAUGAAUUGACGGGAGCCCGCACAAGCGGUGGAGCAUGUGGUUUAAUUCGACGAUAAGCGAGAAACCUUACCAGGUCUUGACAUCUAGCUGCACGCCUCUGGAAACAGAGGAAGCCUUCGAGGGUGCUAGACAGGUGCUGCAUGGCUGUCGUCAGCUCGUGGCGUGAGCUGUUGGGUUAAGUCCUCUAACGAGCGCAACCCCUGUCGAGUGUUAAAAUAUUCGCUCGAGACUGCCGGCGAUAAGCCGGAGGAAGGAAGGGAUGACGUCAAGUCAGCAUGGUCCUCUGACGACCUGGGCUACACACGUGCUACAAUGGGGUGCAACAAUGGGUUGCCAAAGCGCAAGCUGGAGCCAAUCCCACCAAACCACCCCCCAGUUCGGAUUGAAGGCUGCAACUCGCCUUCAUGAAGCCGGAAUCGCUAGUAACCGCGCAUCAUCACGGUGCGGUGAAUACGUUCUCGGGCUUUGUACACACCGCCCGU
RNAcentral lists this ribosomal RNA (488 nucleotides) under uncultured bacterium. RNAcentral describes it as "partial 16S ribosomal RNA". It matches the Rfam family "Bacterial small subunit ribosomal RNA", at positions 899 to 1397 of the family's 1533-position model. The record is from RNAcentral.